This 440-nucleotide ribosomal RNA is filed under the name uncultured bacterium. Its description in RNAcentral is "partial 16S ribosomal RNA". It matches the Rfam family "Bacterial small subunit ribosomal RNA", at positions 338 to 795 of the family's 1533-position model. The record is from RNAcentral.
CCUACGGGUGGCAGCAGUGGGGGAUAUUGCACAAUGGGGGGAACCCUGAUGCAGCGACGCCGCGUGGGUGAAGGAGCGUUUAGGCGCGUAAAGCCCUAUCGGCAGGGAAGAAGAUGACGGUACCUGACCAAGACGCCCCGGCUAACUACGUGCCAGCAGCCGCGGUAACACGAAGGGGGCAAGCGUUAUCCGGAUUUACUGGGCGGAAAGGGGGGGAAGAGGGGAAUGCAAGCCAGGAGUGAAAGCCCGGGGCCCAACCCCGGGACUGCCGUUGAAACUGCAUGGCUGGAGUACAGGAGGGGCAGGCGGAAUGCCUAGUGUAGCGGUGAAAUGCGUAGAUAUUAGGAGGAACACCGGUUGCGAAGGCAGCCUGCUGGACUGUGACUGACGUUGAGGCCCGAAGGCGUGGGUAGCAAACAGGAUUAGAUACCCUGGUAGUC